UACGUAGGGUGCAAGCGUUGUCCGGAAUUAUUGGGCGUAAAGAGCUCGUAGGCGGUCUGUCGCGUCGGCUGUGAAAACCUGGGGCUCAACCCCAGGCCUGCAGUCGAUACGGGCAGACUAGAGUCCGGCAGGGGAGACUGGAAUUCCUGGUGUAGCGGUGAAAUGCGCAGAUAUCAGGAGGAACACCGGUGGCGAAGGCGGGUCUCUGGGCCGAUACUGACGCUGAGGAGCGAAAGCGUGGGGAGCGAACAGG
Molecule: ribosomal RNA, 253 nt
Filed under: uncultured bacterium
Lineage: Bacteria
Description: partial 16S ribosomal RNA
Rfam family: Bacterial small subunit ribosomal RNA
Source: RNAcentral